GACGAACGCUGGCGGCGUGCUUAACACAUGCAAGUCGAACGGAAAGGCCUCUUUCGGGGGGUACUCGAGUGGCGAACGGGUGAGUAACACGUGAGUAACCUGCCCUUGACUUUGGGAUAACUUCAGGAAACUGGGGCUAAUACCGGAUAGGAGCUCCUGCUGCAUGGUGGGGGUUGGAAAGUUUCGGCGGUUGGGGAUGGACUCGCGGCUUAUCAGCUUGUUGGUGGGGUAGUGGCUUACCAAGGCUUUGACGGGUAGCCGGCCUGAGAGGGUGACCGGCCACAUUGGGACUGGGAUACGGCCCAGACUCCUACGGGAGGCAGCAGUGGGGAAUAUUGCACAAUGGGUGGAAGCCUGAUGCAGCAACGCCGGGUGCGGGAUGAUGGCCUUCGGGUUGUAAACCGCUUUCGCUCAUGACGAAGCUUUGUGUGACGGUAGUGGGUAAAGAAGCACCGGCUAACUACGUG
RNAcentral lists this ribosomal RNA (467 nucleotides) under uncultured bacterium. RNAcentral describes it as "partial 16S ribosomal RNA". It matches the Rfam family "Bacterial small subunit ribosomal RNA", at positions 28 to 507 of the family's 1533-position model. The record is from RNAcentral.